This 384-nucleotide ribosomal RNA is filed under the name uncultured bacterium. Its description in RNAcentral is "bacterial SSU rRNA". It matches the Rfam family "Bacterial small subunit ribosomal RNA", at positions 29 to 438 of the family's 1533-position model. The record is from RNAcentral.
AACGAACGCUGGCGGCAGGCUUAACACAUGCAAGUCGAACGGGCGUAGCAAUACGUCAGUGGCAGACGGGUGAGUAACGCGUGGGAAUCUACCCAGCUCUACGGAAUAACUCAGGGAAACUUGUGCUAAUACCGUAUACGUCCGAUAGGAGAAAGAUUUAUCGGAGUUGGAUGAGCCCGCGUUGGAUUAGCUAGUUGGUGGGUAAUGGCCGUACCAAGGCGACGAUCCAUAGCUGGUCUGAGAGGAUGAUCAGCCACACUGGGGCUGAGACACGGCCCAGACUCCUACGGGAGGCAGCAGUGGGGAAUAUUGGACAAUGGGCGAAAGCCUGAUCCAGCCAUGCCGCGUGAGUGAUGAAGGCCCUAGGGUUGUAAAGCUCUUUCA